Molecule: signal recognition particle RNA, 216 nt
Filed under: Scyphosphaera apsteinii
Lineage: Eukaryota; Haptophyta; Coccosphaerales; Pontosphaeraceae
Description: partial Metazoan signal recognition particle RNA
Rfam family: Metazoan signal recognition particle RNA
About the family: The signal recognition particle (SRP) is a universally conserved ribonucleoprotein. It is involved in the co-translational targeting of proteins to membranes.
Source: RNAcentral
UGUAGCGGCUGUCUGUGACCGAGUGGCACGAAGGGAGAUGAAGGGCUUCUGGUCCUCAGAUCUCCGGAGUCAUGCGUGCCGAUGUACGGCCCGAUCCCAAGAUGGGUGUCAACAUAGUCCUUCCUACGGAGGUAGAAGGGUCUCGGUUGUCUAAGGAGGGGGGCACCGCGUUAGGCCGGAAACGGAACAGCGAAAACCCGCCGCACUCAUCUGUGG